CUGUACUCGAAAACCAGUAGCGCCCAGUUCUGAACGCAGACACACGGCACCGUCUCCAGCGCGCACACCCGGCGGCGGCCGGCAGCGCCGCACGGAGCGUGCCCGGGGCACGGCGUCGUGAAGCAGCCCGGCCGCCUUCCCCCGCCGCAGGGGAAACACGCGGCGGCACCGCUGCGCGACACCCAGCCGCGCUGCUUUUAAGGUAGAAAGCGCGGUAAGAGCAGGCGCAGGUCGGUCUCCCCAGCCAGGCCGCCACCGCCGUCGCACACCUGGCGCCCAGCAGCGGCUCCCCGGGCGCCCGCGCAGGCCGCGCCGCUGCCCGCAGGACGGAGCCGCCGCCGAGUUACUACAGGUUGGUAGAACAACAACAGGAUAUUAAUAUGUCCAUAAGAUGGUUCUCAAGAGAAAUAACUUCUGUGAGGAAGCAAGCUUAUUUCAGUGGGAAGAUCUGCAUGCCAAAUCAGAACUUCCUUAAGACCCGUUAUCUACACAGUUCCUUUGAACUAUAAAGUUACACCAACUGUUGGAAGAACUCAGAUUCACACUGAAGACCACAUCUGUCCAGUUUGAUCAAUCUCAACUAUUACAGAAGCACUGGAACUAUCAAUGUAAUCAGCUAGUAUCAUUCGCACUUCAUGUGGUCAGAGUCAGUUGAAUGCUCGCUGAUGCCGACCCGGGUUUCUCGGGGGACGCAUAUACCCUUACCAACGCACCUUAGGAGGAAACGUACCAGCCAUGGGUUGACCUGUUUCUCAAUAUAUGAAGAAACUUGUCUCUAAGCAUCAACACUACGAGAAUGUGUCUUUUUCGGCAUUGGCCGAGAUGACAUCAGAUGUUUUUACAAGCUGUGUCUGAGAUCCUGGAAAAAUAUCUCAUAUUAAGGACAGUAGAUAGCUGGAGUUUCCAAUGGGAUUGAUACUGGAAGGAACUGUUUUAUCACAUAGAUUCACAAUGUACCGUGGGACCACUCCAAAUCUACUGUUUGGGUAACCCCAGGCUGUUUCAAGGAUAACGAAGAAGAAAAUGAUGGCGGAAAAACUAUUAGGUAAUCCUGUAAGCAUUUAACAACAAUGACUUGUCCCGGAUUGCUGUCACGGAAAUUAAAGGAUACCCUCAUGGUUCUUCUAGUAAUUACUAGAGGACAGAAAUGUUUUUUCCCUUUGUGGUUUUGCACCCAAAUCGCAAGGAUUCACUUUAUCUGCAGAAGUCAGAAGGGUUUUUGGAUCAAAUUUUUCUCUUUCUAAACAUAUGUAUAGAUUGCUGUUAGGAGAACUGUCAGAAUAAGAGACUAUGUACACACAGUAGUCUUGGAAAACCAUUCAGGAAUGUGCCCUUCACACGU
This is a long non-coding RNA of Dromaius novaehollandiae (emu), 1342 nucleotides long. RefSeq lists it as uncharacterized. The record is from RefSeq and is a predicted model, not a curated record. NCBI's taxonomy places the organism in Eukaryota, Metazoa, Chordata, Aves, Casuariiformes, Dromaiidae. The transcript is spliced from 9 exons.